GGAUAGUCCGAAUCUCUCAUGUG
This 23-nucleotide non-coding RNA is filed under the name Arabidopsis thaliana (thale cress). The record is from RNAcentral. Lineage: Eukaryota; Viridiplantae; Streptophyta; Magnoliopsida; Brassicales; Brassicaceae.